AUUGAACGCUGGCGGCAUGCCUUACACAUGCAAGUCGAACGGUAACAGGUCUUCGGAUGCUGACGAGUGGCGAACGGGUGAGUAAUACAUCGGAACGUGCCCGAUCGUGGGGGAUAACGAGGCGAAAGCUUUGCUAAUACCGCAUACGAUCUACGGAUGAAAGCGGGGGAUCUUCGGACCUCGCGCGGACGGAGCGGCCGAUGGCCGAUUAGGUAGUUGGUGGGAUAAAAGCUUACCAAGCCGACGAUCUGUAGCUGGUCUGAGAGGAUGAUCAGCCACACUGGGACUGAGACACGGCCCAGACUCCUACGGGAGGCAGCAGUGGGGAAUUUUGGACAAUGGGCGAAAGCCUGAUCCAGCCAUGCCGCGUGCAGGAUGAAGGCCUUCGGGUUGUAAACUGCUUUUGUACGGAACGAAAAGCCUCUUUCUAAUAAAGAGGGGUCAUGACGGUACCGUAAGAAUAAGCACCGGCUAACUACGUG
RNAcentral lists this ribosomal RNA (482 nucleotides) under uncultured bacterium. RNAcentral's name for it is "partial 16S ribosomal RNA". It matches the Rfam family "Bacterial small subunit ribosomal RNA", at positions 30 to 507 of the family's 1533-position model. The record is from RNAcentral.